RNAcentral lists this ribosomal RNA (346 nucleotides) under uncultured eukaryote. RNAcentral's name for it is "SSU rRNA". It matches the Rfam family "Eukaryotic small subunit ribosomal RNA", at positions 594 to 945 of the family's 1831-position model. The record is from RNAcentral.
AUAGCGUAUAUUAAAGUUGUUGAGGUUAAAAAGCUCGUAGUUGAACCUUGGGUCUAGCCGGCCGGUCCGCCUCACCGCGUGCACUGGCUCGGCUGGACCUUUCCUUCUGGAGAACCGCAUGCCCUUCACUGGGUGUGCUGGGGAACCAGGACUUUUACUCUGAAAAAAUUAGAUCGCUUAAAGAAGGCCUAUGCUCGAAUACAUUAGCAUGGAAUAAUAGAAUAGGACGUGUGGUUCUAUUUUGUUGGUUUCUAGAGCCGCCGUAAUGAUUAAUAGGGACAGUCGGGGGCAUCAGUAUUCAAUUGUCAGAGGUGAAAUUCUUGGAUUUAUUGAAGACUAACUACUG